UCAGCUCCUGCCCUGUGGCCCACCCCAUCCAGCCUCCUACUGGGGGGACCCCUGAGCCCCAUUAGGCUGCUCCUCCAGCCUUCCACUUCCAGGCUUCUCCUGGAAGAAGCAUGCUCCAUUAUCUACCUGCAUGGUGACGCCCCAACCAAGUCACAUGAGGCACCAUCAGUGCCUUGCUCCCAAGAACUCUCUUGUUAAAGUCUGCUUUAGAGGUGGCACGGAGUAGGCUCACAGGUUUUCUGCAGCUCAGCAAGCCUUCAGCCAGAUCAUGAGACAUCACCCUGCACCUGUGAUAGGCUCCACACUCUACAAGCCAGCUGCCCUUCACUUGACUUCCAAGCAGGGGAAAGCAGCUGUGGCUGUAUAUGAUGUCUCACGAGUUGUGCCUGCACAAGAAUUGGAAGAAGAGUGGCAGAGACCAGCCUCAUGCCCCACCCCC
RNAcentral lists this long non-coding RNA (439 nucleotides) under Pan troglodytes (chimpanzee). RNAcentral's name for it is "long non-coding RNA NONPTRT005479". The record is from RNAcentral. Lineage: Eukaryota; Metazoa; Chordata; Mammalia; Primates; Hominidae.